RNAcentral lists this ribosomal RNA (80 nucleotides) under Armillaria sp. CMW 3152. RNAcentral's name for it is "partial large subunit ribosomal RNA". Lineage: Eukaryota; Fungi; Basidiomycota; Agaricomycetes; Agaricales; Physalacriaceae. The record is from RNAcentral.
GGGGUACUGUACGUGGUAGAGUAGCCUUGUUGCUACCAUCCACUGAGGUUAAGCCCUUGUUCUAAAGAUUUGUUCAACGA